Molecule: ribosomal RNA, 377 nt
Filed under: uncultured bacterium
Lineage: Bacteria
Description: bacterial SSU rRNA
Rfam family: Bacterial small subunit ribosomal RNA
Source: RNAcentral
AUUGAACGCUGGCGGCAUGCCUUACACAUGCAAGUCGAACGGCAGCACGGGAGCAAUCCUGGUGGCGAGUGGCGAACGGGUGAGUAAUAUAUCGGAACGUGCCCAGUCGUGGGGAUAACGUAGCGAAGCUACGCUAAUACCGCAUACGAUCUAUGGAUGAAAGCGGGGGAUCGCAAGACCUCGCGCGAUUGGAGCGGCCGAUAUCAGAUUAGGUAGUUGGUGAGGUAAAGGCUCACCAAGCCGACGAUCUGUAGCUGGUCUGAGAGGACGACCAGCCACACUGGGACUGAGACACGGCCCAGACUCCUACGGGAGGCAGCAGUGGGGAAUUUUUGGACAAUGGGCGCAAGCCUGAUCCAGCAAUGCCGCGUGCAGGA